Delphinapterus leucas (beluga whale) is the source of this 476-nucleotide long non-coding RNA. RefSeq lists it as uncharacterized. Lineage: Eukaryota; Metazoa; Chordata; Mammalia; Artiodactyla; Monodontidae. The record is from RefSeq and is a predicted model, not a curated record.
GAUGAUACUUAUGUGACAACUGACCACCGGGUCUGAUGGAUGACUUAUGUAACCUCUGGAGAGUUACCUACAUUGUGAUCAGAAAGUACUGUGCCCGUGUGGAAAACAUUGCAGUCCUGGGCUAAAGAUAAAUUUCAUGCUUGAUAAAAAACGACCAAAAGGAGAGCAAACCACAGGAAGUACUGAAGAAAACUGGGGAGUAUUGAAGAAGACGUUCAGAAGUCUGUGUGUGAGACGCUGGUGGUCAUCACUGGAGAGCUACUGGUGUACGUGGUGAAAUGAUACGACAGCUCUACAAUAAAGAAUUGACCUCUCCUUGUCCUCAAGCAAAGGAUACCUGGUCGCCAAAGAGAUAUGUUCCUGGAUAGUCAAUAAAAUGACUGCUCUUGAAUAGGCAGGUGUGGAACCACACUCAGUCCAAUCAGUUGUGAUCAGAGUUUGGGAUCACCUGAUCCAGAGUCAGCUCAGCAGGGAGC